RNAcentral lists this ribosomal RNA (482 nucleotides) under uncultured bacterium. RNAcentral's name for it is "bacterial SSU rRNA". It matches the Rfam family "Bacterial small subunit ribosomal RNA", at positions 30 to 513 of the family's 1533-position model. The record is from RNAcentral.
AUUGAACGCUGGCGGCGUGGAUUAGGCAUGCAAGUCGUGCGCGAUGAGUUUGGUGCUUGCAUUAAACUCUGAAAGCGGCGAAAGGGAGAGUAACGCGUGGAUCAUCUACCCUCGGGUCUGGGAUAGCUGCGGGAAACUGCAGGUAAUACCGGAUGAUGUCCCUGGACCAAAGGUGCAAUUCCGCCUGAGGAUGAGUCCGCGUCCUAUUAGCUAGUUGGUGGGGUAAUGGCCCACCAAGGCAAAGAUGGGUACCGGGUGUGAGAGCAUGGCCCGGCUCACUGGGACUGAGACACUGCCCAGACACCUACGGGUGGCUGCAGUCGAGAAUCUUCCGCAAUGGACGAAAGUCUGACGGAGCGACGCCGCGUGCGGGAUGAAGGCCUUGGGUUGUAAACCGCUGUCAGAAGGAGGAAAUACAUAAGGGUUCUCUCUUAUGUUUGACCGAUCUUCAGUAGGAAGUCCGGGCUAAGUUCGUGCCAGCA